Molecule: long non-coding RNA, 1289 nt
Filed under: Phascolarctos cinereus (koala)
Lineage: Eukaryota; Metazoa; Chordata; Mammalia; Diprotodontia; Phascolarctidae
Description: lncRNA (ENSPCIG00000030988.1)
Source: RNAcentral
CCACAAUCUAAUGGGGGAAGGCAACGUAGAACACGGAACAGGAGACUGGCAAGAGCGGGGAAGGGGGCGGGGCGUGUGACAUCAUCUGGGGUUCCCAGGGGGGGCAUCCUGUUCCGUGGAGAUGAAAGCCAGGGAGGCCGCGGAGGCAGAGUGGAGAGUGUUGGAAAUGCCGAUUCUGCCCUCGAUAAAGGAAGGCUUUUCGAGGAGUUUGGGGUUCUGCCCCCCGGCCCUCCAGUCACGGGGAGAGGGGGCUGAGGAAGACGAAGUCGAGACUGAAUUUCCAAGCUGAGGGUUCGAGGGAGCUGGGAGACUGGAGUGAGUUCUCUCCUGGUCCCUCCUGACCCCCCCCGCCAGACAGAAGCCAGGUAAGAGGCUCUGUGUCCCACAUUCCAGCAGGCCAUCUGUGUCCCCCUGGGCUCUACCCCCACAUUCCAGGCAGCAUCCCAGUGUCCAAGCACCAUCCAGAGGCGGGGUGAUCGCUGGCUGGGAAGGCUGGGGAAGGCUCCUCCAGGGGAGGGGGAGGGGGACUCAGUGGUCUCUGAAAUCCCUUCUCACCUCAAAGACCAGAAUUCAGAGAGUCUCUAGUCUGUGAGGCUGAGAUGCCAUACUUGGACUCCAAGAGUCUGUGGCCUUAUCACCUUCUAGACUUCUUGAGGUGCAGAAACCACAUCCCAUUGGAACAGAGCCUAGCACAAUGCCCACAACAGGUGCUUCAUAAAUGUUUGUGGUUUUUGCUGUCUUAUGACUCUGACAUUCUGUGAUCUAAGAUCCUGUGGCUCUAAGGUUCUAGUAUGUGGUACUGACCAUAAGGGUUAGAACACCUGUGGGGAUCCUAUGGACUUUGGGACCUCAGAACACUGGAUAUCUGAGCUGGGAAGGGAGGGCCUUAGAACAGGAAAUGUCAGAGCUGGGAGGGGCCUUAGAACAGGGGAUGUCAGAGCUGGGAGGGGCCUUAGAAGAUAGGCACUUUGAGGGCUGGACCUGGCCCACAGGAAUGUGAACCCAGGAAUCCUGGUGCCUUGUGGUCUGUGAGGCUGCCAGUAACAGCCAAGAACAGGCAUUCCAGCACAGUCAUUUAACAUUCACUAAGCCUCUGCUAAGUUCUAGGCACUGUGCUAAGCACACAGAAAAACAAAGCCAAUCCCUGCCCUCAUGAAGCUUACAAUGUAAUGGGAGAAGACAGUAAGUUGGGGGUGAUGGAGAGUUCUACAGUGUAGCUGGUGGAGACAGGAGAAAGACGCUGAGCUGCUUUUUAGACACAGGCCCCGUUCUCCUGCCAUGGGGUCUUC